UGGGGAAUAUUGGACAAUGGGCGCAAGCCUGAUCCAGCCAUGCCGCGUGAGUGAUGAAGGCCCUAGGGUUGUAAAGCUCUUUUGUGCGGGAAGAUAAUGACGGUACCGCAAGAAUAAGCCCCGGCUAACUUCGUGCCAGCAGCCGCGGUAAUACGAAGGGGGCUAGCGUUGCUCGGAAUCACUGGGCGUAAAGGGUGCGUAGGCGGGUUUCUAAGUCAGAGGUGAAAGCCUGGAGCUCAACUCCAGAACUGCCUUUGAUACUGGAAGUCUUGAGUUCGGGAGAGGUGAGUGGAACUGCGAGUGUAGAGGUGAAAUUCGUAGAUAUUCGCAAGAACACCAGUGGCGAAGGCGGCUCACUGGCCCGAUACUGACGCUGAGGCACGAAAGCGUGGGGAGCAA
RNAcentral lists this ribosomal RNA (399 nucleotides) under uncultured bacterium. RNAcentral's name for it is "bacterial SSU rRNA". It matches the Rfam family "Bacterial small subunit ribosomal RNA", at positions 355 to 771 of the family's 1533-position model. The record is from RNAcentral.